GAUGAACGCUAGCUACAGGCUUAACACAUGCAAGUCGAGGGGAAACGACAUCGAAAGCUUGCUUUUGAUGGGCGUCGACCGGCGCACGGGUGAGUAACGCGUAUCCAACCUGCCCACCACUUGGGGAUAACCUUGCGAAAGUAAGACUAAUACCCAAUGAUAUCUCUAGAAGACAUCUGAAAGAGAUUAAAGAUUUAUCGGUGAUGGAUGGGGAUGCGUCUGAUUAGCUUGUUGGCGGGGUAACGGCCCACCAAGGCAACGAUCAGUAGGGGUUCUGAGAGGAAGGUCCCCCACAUUGGAACUGAGACACGGUCCAAACUCCUACGGGAGGCAGCAGUGAGGAAUAUUGGUCAAUGGACGAGAGUCUGAACCAGCCAAGUAGCGUGCAGGAAGACGGCCCUAUGGGUUGUAAACUGCUUUUAUAAGGGAAUAAAGUGAGUCCCGUGAGACUUUUUGCAUGUACCUUAUGAAUAAGGACCGGCUAAUUCCGUG
This 492-nucleotide ribosomal RNA is filed under the name uncultured bacterium. RNAcentral's name for it is "partial 16S ribosomal RNA". It matches the Rfam family "Bacterial small subunit ribosomal RNA", at positions 28 to 507 of the family's 1533-position model. The record is from RNAcentral.